Molecule: ribosomal RNA, 253 nt
Filed under: uncultured prokaryote
Description: partial 16S ribosomal RNA
Rfam family: Bacterial small subunit ribosomal RNA
Source: RNAcentral
AACGUAGGUGGCGAGCGUUAUCCGGAUUUACUGGGCGUAAAGCGUGUGCAGGCGGGGAACCAAGUGGUGUAUGAAAUCGCCCAGCUAAACUGGGCUAGGUUAUGCCAGACUGGUUUUCUGGAGUGCGAGAGAGGGGCGUGGAAUUCCGGGUGUAGUGGUGAAAUGCGUAGAGAUCCGGAGGAACCCCAGAGGCGAAGGCGGCGCCCUGGCUCGCAACUGACGCUCAGACACGACAGCAUGGGGAGCGAACGGG